Thamnophis elegans (Western terrestrial garter snake) is the source of this 1120-nucleotide long non-coding RNA. RefSeq lists it as uncharacterized. The transcript has 5 exons. The record is from RefSeq and is a predicted model, not a curated record. Lineage: Eukaryota; Metazoa; Chordata; Lepidosauria; Squamata; Natricidae.
GACAGGCGUAGCGCGAGCUCGAGCCAGGCAAGGCGGCCAAUGGGUUGCUGGAGGCAGUCGAGCCAAUGGGGAGGCGGCUAGGGCGCAGGCGCGGUGGAAGGGGAAGCCGAGAGGCGCGCGCCGGCCCCGCCCCCCUCCUCUCCCUCCCUGCCGCAGUAGUGGCUGAGGGAGCGAGGGCGGCCAUUUUGGGAGUCUGGGCAGGGGCGCGGGGUGGGGGAGGGGAGGGAAGCUUCGCGGAGAGACGGCAAAGACAGGCAGAGAGGCUUCCCUCACACACUCGCUCGCACACGGCGCAAGAUGGCCGGGCGGACGGCUGCUUCGCGAGCGGCUGCGGCUUUUUUUACCCCCACCUCCGUUCUCUCCCUCCAACCUUCCCGGGCCGAAAGCGGCCUCAGGGUCGGGGGGUCUCCGCCGAUCCGGGGGGUUCGAGCUUGUGGGGUGGUGGAAAGUAUAGCCUGUCCCGGUUGAGGCGGACCCGAGAACGAGCCUCUGCGGCAAGGCGAGCCCUCGGUGUCUGCCGCCGCCCGCCCUCCGGGAUGUCCUCGGCUCGACUCGCCUGGCUUCUCUCGCCCCUCAGGACGGUAUUCUAUGAAUAUUUGCCACCUCAAUAACAGAUGGGUUAUAAGUGCUGCCCAGAAUUUUUUGUAGAUUUGUCUGACUUCUAAUAACUAGAAGGAUCCAGAUGGAGCCAAAGGAGAACAUGUUAGCCAUUUCAGGUACAUUGAUCUGAUUCUACCUGAUACCUGAUUCUGUAUGGUGUAUUGAGUCCAGAGAAAGGAAGAAACUCAAAGGGAGACAACGAUUUCCAAAUCAAGAUGGCAGUUCCACUGCUGAGAGUUUCAGAUUGCAUGAUUGCUGAGUAUGCCCUUCCAAGAAAGGGAUUCUUUAACAUGGACUACGAUUGUCUAACCUACAGAAGAUUUGAGCUAAUUGUAAUCUUAUAUUCUGUUUUUAUUUUUUUUAAAUCUGUUUCCAGACUCUUGGGAUUAGCAUUCAGUUGGGGAUGAAGGGCUUGAAGGGGCUGAUCAAAUUUUGCAAACAGGAAUGUAUAAAAAUGUCUGUCCCAUAUAUAAUUGGCACAAGUGAAUUGCUAUUUAAAUAAAAGUAUUUUUUCCAUAUU